This 468-nucleotide ribosomal RNA is filed under the name uncultured bacterium. RNAcentral's name for it is "partial 16S ribosomal RNA". It matches the Rfam family "Bacterial small subunit ribosomal RNA", at positions 28 to 507 of the family's 1533-position model. The record is from RNAcentral.
GACGAACGCUGGCGGCGUGCUUAACACAUGCAAGUCGAACGGAAAGGCCCUGCUUUUGUGGGGUGCUCGAGUGGCGAACGGGUGAGUAACACGUGAGUAACCUGCCCUUGACUUUGGGAUAACUUCAGGAAACUGGGGCUAAUACCGGAUAGGAGCUCCUGCUGCAUGGUGGGGGUUGGAAAGUUUCGGCGGUUGGGGAUGGACUCGCGGCUUAUCAGCUUGUUGGUGGGGUAGUGGCUUACCAAGGCUUUGACGGGUAGCCGGCCUGAGAGGGUGACCGGCCAAAAUGGGACUGAGAUACGGCCCAGACUCCUACGGGGGGCAGCAGUGGGGAAUAUUGCACAAUGGGCGGAAGCCUGAAGCAGCAACGCCGCGUGCGGGAUGACGGCCUUCGGGUUGUAAACCGCUUUCGCCUGUGACGAAGCGUGAGUGACGGUAAUGGGUAAAGAAGCACCGGCUAACUACGUG